RNAcentral lists this ribosomal RNA (176 nucleotides) under Coccorella atrata (black sabretooth). RNAcentral's name for it is "partial 12S rRNA". Lineage: Eukaryota; Metazoa; Chordata; Actinopteri; Aulopiformes; Evermannellidae. The record is from RNAcentral.
UGCCGCGGUUAUACGAGGGACUCAAGUUGAUAGACAGCGGCGUAAAGCGUGGUUAUGGACACCCCCCCCCCUACUAAAGUUAAACACCCCUCAAACUGUUAUACGCAUCCAGGGAAUGGAUACCCGCCCACGAAAGUGACUUUAACACUUUUCCUGAACCCACGUAAGCUAAGAAA